Long non-coding RNA from Nannospalax galili (Upper Galilee mountains blind mole rat), 2550 nucleotides. RefSeq lists it as uncharacterized. The transcript has 4 exons. The record is from RefSeq and is a predicted model, not a curated record. Lineage: Eukaryota; Metazoa; Chordata; Mammalia; Rodentia; Spalacidae.
CGGCAGUUUCCCCUUUCAUCUCUGAUUUUGUUGAUUUGGAGGCUCAGCCACAGGGACUGUGGUGAAACCUGACAAUGACCAUGAAGUAGAGUCACCCAGGUGAUCCUGUCCUGGCCAUGUGUCAACAGAACUAAGACUGGAGUCCACACGAUAAAGCCCCAAGACAACCAGACUGGUGAUGACAGCUGAGUCCCUGGGCUGACUCACAAACUUAUCUGUCCAGUCAGAGACAGAAGCUGGAAUGUGGAGAACCAAUCUUGCAUGGGCCCACCAUGUGAGGUCCUGCUGAGUCUGUUUAUGGCACAGAGACUGGAAGCCCCAAAGCAGGUCCAAGACACAAAGGAAAAGAGAGAGAAGAAGCAGGACAGGUAAGCAUGGACCUUUAGCACAUUAUCUUUGCCAAGUAGAGAACGUUAGCCCACAGAAACUCAAACCCCAUCAGUCACAAUCAUCUAAGAAGUCACCUCAGAGGUGGAAGCAUCUCCCCAGUGCUUGGUCUUUAGAUUGGGAGUGCUGUGGGAAAGCCUUUCUCAGUUUGACUUGGCAGAAAAUGUAGGCAAAAAGGAAAUGCUUCCUCGAAGGGAUGAAGUUGGGUCAGAAGCUCAUUGUAUUACACUGUACAUAAGUGGCUAGGGGGUGUAUUCGCAGAGCUUUUAGGCUCAGUAGACACUAAUUUAUUAUUAUCCUGCCUCCAAGAGAAUAUGCCCCAUCUGACUAAAUUUUCCUGUAUCUAUUCCUAUCUUUGAAGCACAAGAGACAGAGCACACACAUUUUCUUCCAACUAUUCCAGUUUUGCAGAUUUCUUGACAUGGAGUCAAAUCUUGCAGCUGUUUAUCAAAACUAUUUCUGCUUCAUUCUGCCAAAAAGCAAGAAUGUGUUCCCUGUCCCCAUAUCUCUAAGUCAAUUCAAUGUAAUUUAAAUGAGAAAAGAUUCUGAACACUAUCCUCAGGACUUCUGAGUAAGAAAAACUCAACGCUUUCACGAAGCCAACAUAGCUAAGGGCCAGUUUGGCUUUACAUCUACAGUGUUCCUUCUGCAUCAGUGUGAGGUGUGGGUUUGUAUUCAUGCCCAGACUCAGCUGGUGAUCUGUCAUGGCUAUGGAGUACACACGACAGGGAACAGUAAAAGUACAGUAGUGAAAGUCUUCCAAACUUGUGACAGAAGAUGUCUUACGGCAAGAAUGACAGAGUUAACAGUCUGAUGCAACUUUUUUGGAACAGGAAAACUCUUCUCUAGCCAGUGGUGACCUCCUAAUUCCUAACACUCCUAAAUCAUCUUCUCUUUCUUCUUAGUCCCUGUUUUUCUGUGUCUCCAGGGGGAUUUUGAUACCAUUAAUUUGACCAUAAGUUUCUUUACAUUGGAAUAUGUUUCCAGUGUUCGUUUUUCUGCUUGGGCUUUAGUCACCGCAGUAAAAUGUUAAUUUCCUCCAAUAUUUACCGUGCAUUCCUCUACAGUUCUUACAGCAGACUGAUGCUACAACUUUACCAUAAAUAAAACUGAAUUAUUAACAAUUUUUUACCCCAGAGUAUUUUAUUAGAGAGUCCUGUUACCAUGUUAACAUAUAAAACAAUGUGGAUGUUGACAUAGAAAUGCAAAUUUCACUAGAUACAGCUCCAAACGUAGUAAUAUGGCCCUCCUAACUCCUGAAUGGUUAACUCAAUGCAAAUUUUACCCAGAGUUAUGUUCAUGAAUAUUAGACAACUACAAAAUAUGCUGCAAAUACAUAACAUUAUACAUUGAGUUCCAAGCUCAGAAAGGGAUACAUAAUACUUUAGUUAUAUCAUUCUCAUUAUAUAGCCUUAUUAUCACUAAAGACAUGUUAUGUGUACUUACUGCAUGUAUGUGCAUAUACAAAUCCACAAAUGCCCACCCAGGACUUUUAUUAAAAGUUUAACCCUCAAGACUUUAUCCACCGUAUCUGAGAAAGGAAUUAAUUACAUACCCCAAAUUCCUCAACUGUGGCAAAAGGAGCACAGGUAGGUAUGCAUGAAAGGUAGGUUUUUACAGACAAACACACACACACGCACACACACUCACUACCUAUUUUUAUAUAACUACACAUGAAAAAAUUAUAUGGAACAUUCAUGCACUCACAUACCUGCUUUGAAUUCUGAAUCUCAUUAUAUUACAUACUGAGCAUCUUUUUGAAGUAAUUGUCUUAUUUCAUUUGAUUCAGGCAACUGGUGACUACUUUCUAACCAAAAAAAGAGGGUAUUUCUAAAAAGCUCUGAUUCUAGGUCAACUAAAUGACAUUUUAGGAUCCCAGGUUUAGUUUUUAUGGUUCUUGGUUAAAUUUAGCAGUCCUGAUUCUGUCUUCCCCUAAAAUACUUCUUUUCUGCAAUGAACUUUUGCAUUAGCUGGAAAUGUUAAUACAAUCUACAUAUUGUUCCUCACUGUAGAUCUGUAUGCUUGGAAUGUAUGUUAUAUCUGUUUUAUUGUUGCUUUUUUUAUGUUUUACAAUGAAAUAUGUUAUUAAAUCAUUAAAAUAUUUAACUUAAAUACUAUUCAAGAAGCCCCAGUCUUAGCUGAGGAACUAUUGGUAAUUGAUAA